This 119-nucleotide ribosomal RNA is filed under the name Danio rerio (zebrafish). Lineage: Eukaryota; Metazoa; Chordata; Actinopteri; Cypriniformes; Danionidae. The record is from RNAcentral.
GCUUACGGCCAUACCACCCUGGAAAUAACCGAUCUCAUCUGAACUCGGAAGUAAAGCAGGGUCGGGCCUGGUUAGUACUUGGAUGGGAGACCGCCUGGGAAUACCAGGUGCUGUAAGCU